Molecule: long non-coding RNA, 241 nt
Filed under: Amborella trichopoda
Lineage: Eukaryota; Viridiplantae; Streptophyta; Magnoliopsida; Amborellales; Amborellaceae
Description: long non-coding RNA (ATRI_LNC004726)
Source: RNAcentral
AGAGAGAGAAAUAGAGAAGAUGAGAGGGAGAGGGAGAGAGGAAGGGAGAAAACGAGAGAGAGAGGGAAGAUCGAGAGAAAGAGAGAAGGAGAGAGAAAAUGAUAAAGAGGGAAAUAUCAAGAGAGAGUGAGAGAGAAAAUCGAGAGUGAGAGGGAAAGAGAGACAGAAAAUGAGAGAGAGACGAGAGAGGGGAGGGACCGAGAGAGAGAGAGAGAAAAUGAGAGAGGGAAAAAGAGAGGAG